This is a regulatory RNA element of Salinibacter ruber DSM 13855, 77 nucleotides long. The record is from Rfam. NCBI's taxonomy places the organism in Bacteria, Pseudomonadati, Rhodothermota, Rhodothermia, Rhodothermales, Salinibacteraceae.
CUCCUGCGUCACGGGGAAAGUCCGGUGGAAGGCCGGCGCUGCCGCGCAACGGUUCCAGCCCGAAUGCCCGCUCGGAG